GGAGAGAUGUCCGAGUGGUCGAAGGAGCACGAUUGGAAAUCGUGUAGGCGGCAAAACCGCCUCGUGGGUUCGAAUCCCACUCUCUCCG
RNAcentral lists this transfer RNA (88 nucleotides) under Kyrpidia spormannii. It matches the Rfam family "tRNA". Rfam says of the family: Transfer RNA (tRNA) molecules are approximately 80 nucleotides in length. Their secondary structure includes four short double-helical elements and three loops (D, anti-codon, and T loops). The record is from Rfam by way of RNAcentral. Lineage: Bacteria; Bacillati; Bacillota; Bacilli; Caryophanales; Alicyclobacillaceae.